UGGACAGAGUCAUAUGGGACGAGGAGCAAGGGGCUAUUCGGGAUCAUCCCAGUCUCUUUCUAACGCUCUGAACAGACAGAACCAGCUUAUGCAGGGAGGAGGAGCCUUUGGCCGCCGCUACUAACCUCACACACAGUAACAGACUGUAGAGGUCUAGGUCCGGGUUUUGUACAGUUUUGUUUUAUAAGAAUAACACAAUUGAAUUGUUUUGUUUUUACUCCUGAUUUUGUUUUGCUGCCGAGUGUGUUCUACUUGGUGUACAGUCAUACAGUGCACAUGUCCCCUCAUUAGGAGCAGGCUAAUUAAAGUCUCAUUAUUUUCAUGUGGUUGUCUUGGUAUACGGACCUCACCCAGACUCACCUGGGCCACACUUGCUGAAGCCGUAUUUAAUUUUGGUACAACCUUUUGUUAAUAUGCUCAUAUUGUUAGUUAAGCAGACUUGUGUCUUUUGUUAUUUGAUCUUAAAUGGUAUUUGCAAGGUUUUUAAGGUUAAGUCUGUCUUUCACAUUAUUGAACAUAAACUGAAUGAGUACAUGUUCCCUGCUUCACUUUACUGUAAUAAAGUAACUUCAAAGUCUU
Long non-coding RNA from Boleophthalmus pectinirostris (great blue-spotted mudskipper), 579 nucleotides. RefSeq lists it as uncharacterized. NCBI's taxonomy places the organism in Eukaryota, Metazoa, Chordata, Actinopteri, Gobiiformes, Gobiidae. The transcript has 2 exons. The record is from RefSeq and is a predicted model, not a curated record.